Molecule: ribosomal RNA, 374 nt
Filed under: uncultured eukaryote
Lineage: Eukaryota
Description: partial 18S ribosomal RNA
Rfam family: Eukaryotic small subunit ribosomal RNA
Source: RNAcentral
CAAUAGCGUAUAUUUAAGUUGUUGCAGUUAAAAAGCUCGUAGUUGGAUUUCGGUUAAGAGCGACCGGUCCGCCGUUUGGUGUGCACUGGUUGGUUUUAACUUCCUGUAGAGGACGUGCUCUGGGUUUAACGACCUGGACUCGGAGUCUACGUGGUUACUUUGAGAAAAUUAGAAUGUUCAAAGCGGGCUUACGCUUGAAUAUUUCAGCAUGGAAUAACACUAUAGGACUCCUGUCCUAUUUCGUUGGUCUCGGGACGGGAGUAAUGAUUAAGAGGAACAGUUGGGGGCAUUCGUAUUUCAUUGUCAGAGGUGAAAUUCUUGGAUUUAUGAAAGACGAACUUCUGCGAAAGCAUUUGCCAAGGAUGUUUUCAUUA